UUCCUCAUGCAUCCACCAGAGAACCUUUCAAGUUCAAGCACUCCAACCAGUACAGACUUCCAAGUUCCAGUUAUAGAUCUUGAGGGGUUCCAUGAGAAUCUCCAUCGGGUGCAGAUUGUUAAGGAGAUUCGUGAAGCAUCGGAAACAUGGGGGUUCUUUCAAAUGGUUAAUCAUGGAGUUCCAAACACUGUUAUAGACAAUUUGUUACAAGCAAUAAAAGAAUUUCAUGAGCAGCCAAAGGAGGUGAAGAUGGAGUGGUACUCACGCGACUCUACGAAAAGGGUAAGAUACUACUGCAAUGGAGAUCUGCUGGUGGCAAAAAGAGCAAACUGGAGGGAUUCAAUUGUUUUCGAUUUCCAGGAUGGACCUUUGGAACCUGAGGCAUUUCCCUUGGUUUGCAGGUACACUUUGUUAGUAACCUUUUUAUUCAUAUCAACAGUCUAGUAACAUAACACGGAAUACUAACUUGAGAUUUAAGUCGAGUCACAGACAGGCAGUGCAAGAAUACAUGGAACACUUGAUCAACCUAAGAGAUGCGCUAUCAAGUUUGUUGUCAGAGGCCUUGGGGAUCAGCAGUGACUACCUAGCUAGCAUAGAGUGCAUGAAGGGUGAAAAUCUGGUGUGCCAUUAUUACCCGGUAUGUCCAGAACCAGACCUCACCAUAGGGACAACCAAGCAUUCAGAUCCUUCAUCUUUAACUAUACUCUUACAAGACAACA
RNAcentral lists this long non-coding RNA (719 nucleotides) under Fragaria vesca (wild strawberry). RNAcentral describes it as "long non-coding RNA (FVES_LNC000563)". The record is from RNAcentral. Lineage: Eukaryota; Viridiplantae; Streptophyta; Magnoliopsida; Rosales; Rosaceae.